CUCCUUUCUUCAGCUUAGGUCCUGACUGUUGGCAAGAAUGAAGAUGAAUCCUAUUCUGAGUCUCUUUCCUCUCUUCCACCCUAGCUUGCCAGCAAAGCACGGACAGAGAAGGAGGAGAAGCUGAGCCAGGCCUAUGCAAUCAGUGCUGGUGUCUCUCUAGAGGGCCAGCAGCUCUUCCAGACCAUUCACAAGACCAUUAAAGACUGUAAAUGGCAAGAAAAAAACAUCGUAGUCAUGGAAGAAGUUGUUAUUACACCCCCAUAUCAAGUGGAAAACUGUAAAGGCAAAGAGGGGAGUGCACUGAGCCAUGUACGCAAAAUAGUUGAAAAACAUUUUAGAGACGUGGAAAGCCAAAAGAUACUGCAACGUUCACAAGCCCAGCAACCACAGAAGGAGGCUGCCCUGUCAUCCUGAGUCCGUACACAUGGAGGACUCUUCCAGCAUCCAGCCAAGGAGGCGCUGGUGGUGGCUUCAGCGGAGGCAGGCCGGGGGAGGGAAGGGAUCCUAUAUGUCCUGUUGGCUCUUAACAAAGGGUCAGCAUUUCCAAAUCUUAGACUUG
Molecule: long non-coding RNA, 559 nt
Filed under: Homo sapiens (human)
Lineage: Eukaryota; Metazoa; Chordata; Mammalia; Primates; Hominidae
Description: non-protein coding lnc-TMEM101-2:1
Source: RNAcentral